RNAcentral lists this long non-coding RNA (661 nucleotides) under Pan troglodytes (chimpanzee). RNAcentral's name for it is "lincRNA". The record is from RNAcentral. Lineage: Eukaryota; Metazoa; Chordata; Mammalia; Primates; Hominidae.
GGACCGGAUGAUAGGACAAUAGUCAAUAACAGGAGACCAAGAAGCAAAGACCACCUAUGCCACGGAAGAAACUUGCAAUGUAUGAAUAAGGAAAGUGGCAAUUGCAGGGAUUAUCCAGCCCAGGGUUCAAGGUGUCUAGGAAGACAUGAGACCUACGUCUGGGCAGGGGCUCCAGGGCCGCCUUUGAAACUCUCUCCAAUGCACACACACCCACUGUGAGCCUCUGGACACACUCCUGCCCCCAGGAAACUGAAACUCCCUGUGGAUACCAGGGCCCUCCUCCCAGAGGAAGAACAGUUGAGCUCCCUGAUGGAAGAAAGACAGUUCCAGAACACGUGACAGUGAGGACAAGAAUUUCAAGCCAGGGGGAAGACAUGAAGGAAGGACCGGACACCUGGAGGUGGAAAUCGCAGACAAGGGCUGAGCUGGAGGGGGCUUUGGGGUGACUGGAUCACAGAGGGUAGAAAGGGGUGAAGCAAGCCUGGGUCAUAAGUUGGGGCUCCUUCAAAGCAGCCACAGACCCAGGGGGAGAAGCUGUGGGCACAGCUAAGCCCCUCGUUUGGUUGGUGAACUCUGACCCUCCUGAGGCAAUCCUAGUAAUCAUAGCAGCAAUACGCAUUGCAUUUUCGGGGUGGGCCAGGCUGGGCACUACACACGUUCC